RNAcentral lists this ribosomal RNA (240 nucleotides) under uncultured Lactobacillus sp. RNAcentral describes it as "partial 16S ribosomal RNA". It matches the Rfam family "Bacterial small subunit ribosomal RNA", at positions 122 to 354 of the family's 1533-position model. The record is from RNAcentral. Lineage: Bacteria; Bacillati; Bacillota; Bacilli; Lactobacillales; Lactobacillaceae.
UAACCUGCCCAAGAGAUCGGGAUAACACCUGGAAACAGAUGCUAAUACCUGAUAACAACAGAUGAUGCCUAUCAACUGUUUAAAAGAUGGUUCUGCUAUCACUCUUGGAUGGACCUGCGGUGCAUUAGCUAGUUGGUAGGGUAACGGCCUACCAAGGCGAUGAUGCAUAGCCGAGUUGAGAGACUGAUCGGCCACAUUGGGACUGAGACACGGCCCAAACUCCUACGGGAGGCAGCAGGG